This 257-nucleotide long non-coding RNA is filed under the name Hordeum vulgare. Its description in RNAcentral is "long non-coding RNA (HVUL_LNC001385)". The record is from RNAcentral. Lineage: Eukaryota; Viridiplantae; Streptophyta; Magnoliopsida; Poales; Poaceae.
UUCUUUAUGUUUGCAUUGCCAACUUUUCUCAAAUGGGCUCAAACCUUGUGAUCGACCUUGGUUUUAUCCUAUAAUAAAUCCUGGUAAAUAUCAUGGCAAGUGGAGUAUUUUUACUUUCCAAAACCAGCAUCAAACACCUUCUAGUAGUUUGGUAAAAGAUGUAAUUUUACCCCUUCCACUAUUCCUCUUCACUCCAAACUUUUACCACAACCCCACAAUGCUAUAUUUUACCUCCAAUAAGAAACUCCAUCUCUGGU